Molecule: ribosomal RNA, 460 nt
Filed under: uncultured bacterium
Lineage: Bacteria
Description: partial 16S ribosomal RNA
Rfam family: Bacterial small subunit ribosomal RNA
Source: RNAcentral
CCUACGGGGGGCAGCAGUGAGGAAUAUUGGUCAAUGGACGAGAGUCUGAACCAGCCAAGUAGCGUGAAGGAUGACUGCCCUAUGGGUUGUAAACUUCUUUUAUAAAGGAAUAAAACGAGGCACGUGUGCCUUUUUGCAUGUACUUUAUGAAUAAGGAUCGGCUAACUCCGUGCCAGCAGCCGCGGUAAUACGGAGGAUCCGAGCGUUAUCCGGAUUUAUUGGGUUUAAAGGGAGCGUAGAUGGGUUGUUAAGUCAGUUGUGAAAGUUUGCGGCUCAACCGUAAAAUUGCAAUUGAUACUGGCAGUCGUGAGUACAGUUGAGGUAGGCGGAAUUCGUGGUGUAGCGGUGAAAUGCUUAGAUAUCACGAAGAACCCCGAUUGCGAAGGAAGCUUACUAAACUGUGACUGACAUUGAUGCUCGAAAGUGUGGGUAUCAAACAGGAUUAGAUACCCUUGUAGUC